GGUGGUUUAGAUCAGCUUGGAGAGCACCUCCCUUACAAGGAGGGGGUCGGCGGUUCGAUCCCGUCAUCACCCACCA
This 76-nucleotide transfer RNA is filed under the name Klebsiella planticola. Its description in RNAcentral is "Raoultella planticola tRNA-Val". It matches the Rfam family "tRNA". From Rfam's summary of the family: Transfer RNA (tRNA) molecules are approximately 80 nucleotides in length. Their secondary structure includes four short double-helical elements and three loops (D, anti-codon, and T loops). Further hydrogen bonds mediate the characteristic L-shaped molecular structure. tRNAs have two regions of fundamental functional importance: the anti-codon, which is responsible for specific mRNA codon recognition, and the 3' end, to which the tRNAs corresponding amino acid is attached (by aminoacyl-tRNA synthetases). tRNAs cope with the degeneracy of the genetic code in two manners: having more than one tRNA (with a specific anti-codon) for a particular amino acid; and 'wobble' base-pairing, i.e. permitting non-standard base-pairing at the 3rd anti-codon position. Lineage: Bacteria; Pseudomonadati; Pseudomonadota; Gammaproteobacteria; Enterobacterales; Enterobacteriaceae. The record is from RNAcentral.